AGAUGCGUGUGACAAAUGUGGCGGAUACAGCCACCCAUAGCCCUGGGCAAGGAGCUGCCCGCGGGGCUGGAGGAGAGGGAGAGGCUAGACUCUCAGCUCGAGGUUGCCCGAGGCUGAACUUACUGGACUACUGGGCUGUGCUUCUAGAGAUAUCAGUGCCUCGCUGGCCACAGAAAAACCCACCUGAGGAACCUGUUAAACACCCAGAGAUGCUGAGUCAUUAAGUCUGUGGUGGAGCCCAGAAAUCUGUAGUUAAAAUCCCAGGCCACAGGACCCAAAGUCGGGGCCAGAGUAGUCCCUGUGGAGCGUGGAAGGACGGCAGUUUCUUGGUGAAAGGUAUCACCCCUCAGGGGCCAGGACCUGGCAUUAUUCUGUUGCCCAGUCAGGGCCCAGGUAACACACCAAGCAGUGAUGAAACUUGAGCUGCCCCUCCCUGUCCCCAGCUGUCCUGGGAGGCUCCAGUGGCCUGGCCCCUCAGCCACCUUCCCCAAGAUUCAGGUGUCACACAACUGGGCCCCAAGCCAGGCUUCUGGUUCCCAGGCUCCCUCCCUCUCCCUCUCAAGCCGGUUGGGAUCCCAGGAGAUUUCAGUUCUCUCUGUAGGAAAUGGCUGGGAGGCUCGGAGGGCAGUGGGAGGGUGCUGAGACCAUGGGGCCUACCCUGGGCCCCAGGAGACCCCUUCCCUCUACCAGCAAGCCCUGAGUGGACAGGCUAGGUCUUCCAGGUCCUGCCACUCUGUACUGAUGCUCCCAGGCCCUUCACUGCCAGCCUUGUGCCCUAGUGCCCCUCCCACCUUAGCCCUUGUCCUGAUUCUCCUUGACAUACUUGCUGAUGGUCAUGCCUUCCUAAAAACUGCAGUCCUGAACUUUCUAGUGUCCAGGGGAAUUCUGAGAGCCAGUCCUCUGUUUCUCUGGCUCUGGGAACUGUUUAUAUUAUCCUUGCAACUUUCCUGUAAAUCUAAAAUAAUUGCAUUCUCCGGAUUGUGACCACACCCCCUCCUCUCUGGUACCCAUGGCGGGGAGAGGGGGGCAGCAGAGACAGAAAGAAGGGCUAUAAAAUUCUUGACUCACAUCAAAAAGAAUGGCUAAAAUAACAACAACAACAAUAAUAAUAACUGGACAAUACCAAAGCCUGGCUGAGUGAAGCAACUGGAACUCACAUGCGUUGCUUUUGGGGAAUGCAAAAUGGUGCAGCCACUUUUGAAAACAAUUUGUCAGUUUCUUAUGAAGUUAAACAUACGCUCACCAUACAACCCAGCGAUCCAACUCAUAGGUAUUUACCCAAGGGAAAUGAAAAUUAUAUACAUACAAAAAGCUGUGCAUGAAUGUUUAUAGAGACGUUAUUCAUAAUCAUCAAAAAGCCCCCCAAAGAUCUUUCAACUGGUAAAUGGAUAAGCAAACUGGCAUAUCCAUGCAAUGGGAUACCCAUACUCAGCAGUAAAAAGAAAUGAAGUCUUUUUUUUUUUUUAAGAUUUUUUUUUCAUGUGGACCAGCUUUAAAGUCUUUAUUGAAUUCAUUACAAUAUUGCUUCUCUUUUAUGUUUUUGGUUUUUUGGCGGCGAGGCGUGUGGGAUCUUAGCUCCCCGACCAGGGAUUGAACCCGCACCCCUUGCGUUGGAAGGUGAAGUCUUCACCACUGGACCACCAGGGAAGUCCUGAAAUGAAGUUUUGAUUCACGCAACAACAUGGAUGAAUCUCAAGUGCAUCUUACUAAGUGAAAGAAACCAGACCCCAAAAAACUACAUGUCGUGUGAGUCUAUUUAUGUGACUUUCUGGAAAAGGCAAAACUGUAGGGAUGGAUCAGUGAUUGUCUGGGCUGAAGAUGGGGGAAGGGUUGACUAUGAAGGGGCAGGUGGGAAUUUUGGGGGGUGAUGGAAAUGUUCUGUGUCAUGAUUGUGGUGAUGAUUACAUGAUUGUCUGCAUUUAUCAAGACUCAAAGACAUGUACACUAUAAAGGCUGAAUUUUACCGGAUGUAAAUUAUACCAUAGUUUUUUUUUUAAAGCCUCCCUCAUGUCCCCACCUCACCUCCACAGUAGCUUUCUGCCACAUCCCUGAGGCCUUAGUGCAAAAACCAUAAAACUAAACCAUGACUAAAUGCAGUAUGGGAUCCAAGAUUGGCUCCUGGAACAGAAAGAAGGAUAUUAGUGGAAAACCUGGUGAAAUCCAAAUAAAUACUAAAUCCAAAUACUACUAAUAGUAGUGUACCAAUGUCAUUUCUUUGUUGUGACAAUGUAUCAUGGUAAUGGAAGGUGUUAAUAUUUGGGGAAAUUGAAUGAGGGGCAUAAGGGAACUGUUUAUAUUAUCCUUGCAACUUUCCUGUAAAUCUAAAAUUCUUCCAAAAUAAUUGCAUAAUAUAAAUAAU
Molecule: long non-coding RNA, 2359 nt
Organism: Globicephala melas (long-finned pilot whale)
Lineage: Eukaryota; Metazoa; Chordata; Mammalia; Artiodactyla; Delphinidae
Source: RefSeq, a predicted model, not a curated record